UGGGGAAUUUUGGACAAUGGGCGAAAGCCUGAUCCAGCCAUGCCGCGUGCAGGAUGAAGGCCUUAGGGUUGUAAAGAUCUUUCAGUGGGGAAGAUAAUGACGGUACCCACAGAAGAAGCCCCGGCUAACUCCGUGCCAGCAGCCGCGGUAAUACGGAGGGGGCUAGCGUUGUUCGGAAUUACUGGGCGUAAAGCGCACGUAGGCGGAUCAGAAAGUCAGAGGUGAAAUCCCAGGGCUCAACCUUGGAACUGCCUUUGAAACUCCUGAUCUUGAGGUCGAGAGAGGUGAGUGGAAUUCCGAGUGUAGAGGUGAAAUUCGUAGAUAUUCGGAGGAACACCAGUGGCGAAGGCGGCUCACUGGCUCGAUACUGACGCUGAGGUGCGAAAGCGUGGGGAGCAAACAGG
This 404-nucleotide ribosomal RNA is filed under the name uncultured Paracoccaceae bacterium. RNAcentral describes it as "bacterial SSU rRNA". It matches the Rfam family "Bacterial small subunit ribosomal RNA", at positions 355 to 776 of the family's 1533-position model. Lineage: Bacteria; Pseudomonadati; Pseudomonadota; Alphaproteobacteria; Rhodobacterales; Paracoccaceae. The record is from RNAcentral.